This 409-nucleotide ribosomal RNA is filed under the name Prochaetoderma yongei NTM-2018. RNAcentral's name for it is "partial 16S ribosomal RNA". It matches the Rfam family "Bacterial large subunit ribosomal RNA", at positions 1924 to 2599 of the family's 2925-position model. The record is from RNAcentral. Lineage: Eukaryota; Metazoa; Mollusca; Caudofoveata; Chaetodermatida; Prochaetodermatidae.
UAAACGGCCGCGGUAACCUAACCGUGCAAAGGUAGCGUAAUUCCUUGCCUUCUAAUUAAAGGCCAGUCAAUGGUCAAACGAGGCUUAAACUGUCUCUUGUAAUUAUGCGGAAAUUAACAUUUAAGUGAAAAGGCUUAAAUACAAGUGAGUGACGAGAAGACCCUAUAGAGUUUUAUUGAAGUAAAAUGCUGUAAUACCACAGUAACUUUACACUAAUUUAAUUGGGGCAAUUAGAGAAAAAGAAACUUCUCCCAAUAAAUAAACCAUGGAAAAACUACCUUAGGGAUAACAGCAUAAUUUUACUGGAGAGCACACAUUUAUAGUAAAGAUUAUGACCUCGAUGUUGGAUUAAGGCACCUGAAAGACGCAGGGGUCUUCAAGGGGGUCUGUUCGACCCUUUAACCCUUAC